RNAcentral lists this long non-coding RNA (2785 nucleotides) under Gallus gallus (chicken). Lineage: Eukaryota; Metazoa; Chordata; Aves; Galliformes; Phasianidae. The record is from RNAcentral.
GCAGCAGCAUAAGUUAAAGGCUAUUUAAAUAUAGUCCUUAUUUUGUAACGUGGGCACUGUGCUCCCAUUUUCAAACUGCCAAUGAACCACUGGGAAUUUUCAUUCUCUUGCUGAUUCUCUUUAAGACCUCCAUGAACAGCAGAGAAAACAUUUCCACUGUAAUAAAAACAGGGGUUUGUUUUCCUUUUUUAAAACUGAGGCACUGGGUAAAAUAAAGGUCAUUGCAACAACAUUUGAAAGAACAAAAAGAGUAAUUUUCCCCCUUUUGCUUUUUUACUGGUUUUCGAUGCAAUGUGAAAAAUCAUUUUUAAGUUUGCCCAUCUGUUUUACAUAAAACCUUAGCUGACCUUACACAAAGUGAAACAAAUGCACAAAAAGCUUUGCUGUUGGGUUCUUGCCAGCAGGACAGAAGAGAAAGAAAAGAAUACAUAAAGUUAGAUCCUGCUCUUGUGUAGAUUAGCCUAGCUCCAGUGGGGACUUGUGUUGAUUUAUACCGGCAGAGGCUCAGGCUUGUAUUUCUUAUAAAAACCAGACUUGUCAGACCCAGUCUUGAAACACUGAAAUCAUCUGAAGUUUUGAUACUGAUUUUUGUGGGAAAAAAAGUACACUCACUGAAGGAGCCGUGCUUAUUACAGGUAAACAGCACAUAUCCGUAUAGUCAGCGUGUGCUAUUGGGCAAAGUGAACUGUAAGAACACAGUGUAAGUAACUCUUUGAGAUUUGUGGAUGAGCAGGUGUGGUUUAAGGCUUGAAUUGUACCUCAGCUUUGUAUGCUUUGUGUACAUGACUGAGUUUGAGCCUUGUCUGAGGAAGCUAAGGAGCUCAUUUCACAUCAGUCUUGAAGCAAAGGGAUUCUCAGAACACGCAGAGCUAAUCACAGCAGGGUCAUAGGAGGCAGAUACGUUUGCAGGACUGAUGCAGAGCUCCAUUGCUCGAGGUGGAUCCUGAGGAAUAGUUGCUAUUUAUUGCAGCCCAAUGUAUUGGAAUUCAAAACCAAGGAGAUCGAUCAUCCUCGCAUCAGAUCUGAGUUCCCUUCCCAAGCCAUAAUGGAUGACGACGGUAGUAGAAGUAAUAUAUUCAGAGGGACCAAAACAGGAUAACAAUUUUUCAGAAGCUGAAGAAAUAUAUGAGGGAAGAAGAGAGAUUGAUACAGCAGCAUUGGAACCAGCUUUGUCCUUGGAUUGCAAGGGAAUGGAGAAAUGAGGUGUCUUCACAGAUCUUUCUUAUGUGACCAAGUGGCAGAAAAUGCUGCAGAAAUCUACUUCAGACAGUUAAGUAUUCAGGUUACUGAAAGCUGUGUUUACUAUUUUUAUAUCUAUGGUUGUGAGCUAAGUAUUUUUUUUUUUUUUUUUUUUUUUGCCUGUUCACAUCCUUGCUGCCUGCAGAGCUUCCCAGUUGCUAGGCUGUGUUUAAUAUAUUAUUUUCCCAUUGAGACACCUAUGCUCCCUGUCACAUCUCUGUUGUCUCUUUUCAGUACUGUAUGAGCCCCAUCUCUGGCUUCUCUAAAUGUUAAAGACCUCUCUUCCAGUUAUUUAUACAGUAUUUAAAAUACGUCCCUUAGUAAUCUUGACUUCAUCAGCCUGACCCCUCUGAACCACCAUUCGCCCUUGGUUCAUCAAAUCAGGUUCAGCCUUCUUGCCUUUAGCUUAGGACAUUUUAAUUCUUUUUUUCUGCAUAAUGUCUGUUUCUGUCUCCUAUAUUGAGAUUUAUUAAAAUUAUUUAGCCAUUUUAAGAUGAAACCGUAUGUCUAGUUGAGUGUUCAAAAUCAGUGACUACCUAAUUCCCCCUGAGACUAACACUCAUUCAUUCUCCUCAUUAACUUAGCAAGAGGACUUAGAGUCCAGCAUUGCAGAUUGUCUCCAGGCUUUCAUGCCUGAACUUCUCUUUCACUGUUGGGGGCAUAGAUCCUUCCUCUUCUGAGGACAAAGAAAUUUGGUGUCAUCCAGUCUGUGGAGAAAGUUUGCUGCAACUUGGAAUGCUGUUCUACCAAACAAUUCCUUUCUUCCAUCUGCGACACAAUUUUUUAGGGUUUUCCGAUUAAUCCAAAUACUGAAGAUAUUAUAAAGCCACAGAAACUGCUUUAGGCCAAAGAUGGCAAUUACAGCUAAGAGCUAGAGCUAACUGAAAGGCUUCCUAUUUUUUAACAUUUUUCUGUGGCUUUUAAGAUCUUUUUGUGUCACUCUGGAAUGAAAACCAAGUGCACAAAGACUUUUGGCAAAAAUGGGACUUUGCAAAAUGUUCAUCUUUGGCUCCAGAAACCGUUUUUCUUCUACUCUCAUCUUCUAGGAAGCCUAUUGUAGAGCUUAGAAAUAAUCCUGUCAGAACUUCAUCAAAGCCAGUAUUUGUUUUCAAAAUGUUCUAGUUUUGGCAUAAUAUUAGUUGGAGAAGAAAGUAUUUAAUCCAAAAUUUUCUGACUAGUUCCAUAAAUGUCAUUACAUUAAUUAGGUACAUAAGUAACAGUAGCUGAAUUAGCUAUGUUUACACAUGUCUAGUCAUCUGAAAGAAUAUGAAGUCAGACAGGACUCAAGGGUUGGCUCAGUAAGUGUCAUAAAUUUUAGUAACCCCUGAUCUUGAUGCUCAGUAGAACACAUCUGUGAACAAAACUAAUUGAAACAUCAAGAAAAAGUCAAAACAAAUGAAAAGCAUUAGCAAAAAAAAAAAAAACAUUAUUAAUUUAGAGUAAUAUGUUAGGGUGAGUGGCAAAUUAAAUCGCUAUCCAAGUCCUGACACAGUUUUUUAUUUGAAACUAUAAUGUGAUUAUUGAUCAAAUGAAUUAAUUCUAUUUU